RNAcentral lists this ribosomal RNA (541 nucleotides) under uncultured bacterium. Its description in RNAcentral is "partial 16S ribosomal RNA". It matches the Rfam family "Bacterial small subunit ribosomal RNA", at positions 356 to 888 of the family's 1533-position model. The record is from RNAcentral.
AGGGAAUCUUCCACAAUGGACGCAAGUCCGAUGGAGCAACGCCGCGUGAGUGAAGAAGGUCUUCGGAUCGUAAAGCUCUGUUGUUGGUGAAGAAGGAUAGAGGCAGUAACUGGUCUUUAUUUGACGGUAAUCAACCAGAAAGUCACGGCUAACUACGUGCCAGCAGCCGCGGUAAUACGUAGGUGGCAAGCGUUGUCCGGAUUUAUUGGGCGUAAAGCGAGCGCAGGCGGAAUGAUAAGUCUGAUGUGAAAGCCCACGGCUCAACCGUGGAACUGCAUCGGAAACUGUCAUUCUUGAGUGCAGAAGAGGAGAGUGGAACUCCAUGUGUAGCGGUGGAAUGCGUAGAUAUAUGGAAGAACACCAGUGGCGAAGGCGGCUCUCUGGUCUGCAACUGACGCUGAGGCUCGAAAGCAUGGGUAGCGAACAGGAUUAGAUACCCUGGUAGUCCAUGCCGUAAACGAUGAGCGCUAGGUGUUGGGGACUUUCCGGUCCUCAGUGCCGCAGCAAACGCAUUAAGCGCUCCGCCUGGGGAGUACGACCG